GUGCCUAAUACAUGCAAGUCGAGCGGACAGAUGGGAGCUUGCUCCCUGAUGUUAGCGGCGGACGGGUGAGUAACACGUGGGUAACCUGCCUGUAAGACUGGGAUAACUCCGGGAAACCGGGGCUAAUACCGGAUGGUUGUUUGAACCGCAUGGUUCAAACAUAAAAGGUGGCUUCGGCUACCACUUACAGAUGGACCCGCGGCGCAUUAGCUAGUUGGUGAGGUAACGGCUCACCAAGGCAACGAUGCGUAGCCGACCUGAGAGGGUGAUCGGCCACACUGGGACUGAGACACGGCCCAGACUCCUACGGGAGGCAGCAGUAGGGAAUCUUCCGCAAUGGACGAAAGUCUGACGGAGCAACGCCGCGUGAGUGAUGAAGGUUUUCGGAUCGUAAAGCUCUGUUGUUAGGGAAGAACAAGUACCGUUCGAAUAGGGCGGUACCUUGACGGUACCUAACCAGAAAGCCACGGCUAACUACGUGCCAGCAGCCGCGGUAAUACGUAGGUGGCAAGCGUUGUCCGGAAUUAUUGGGCGUAAAGGGCUCGCAGGCGGUUUCUUAAGUCUGAUGUGAAAGCCCCCGGCUCAACCGGGGAGGGUCAUUGGAAACUGGGGAACUUGAGUGCAGAAGAGGAGAGUGGAAUUCCACGUGUAGCGGUGAAAUGCGUAGAGAUGUGGAGGAACACCAGUGGCGAAGGCGACUCUCUGGUCUGUAACUGACGCUGAGGAGCGAAAGCGUGGGGAGCGAACAGGAUUAGAUACCCUGGUAGUCCACGCCGUAAACGAAGAGUGCUAAGUGUUAGGGGGUUCCGCCCCUUAGUGCUGCAG
Molecule: ribosomal RNA, 825 nt
Filed under: Bacillus subtilis
Lineage: Bacteria; Bacillati; Bacillota; Bacilli; Caryophanales; Bacillaceae
Description: bacterial SSU rRNA
Rfam family: Bacterial small subunit ribosomal RNA
Source: RNAcentral